CAAAAAGGAAAAUCAAAAAUCAAAAGGCAAAAUCAAAAGUCCAAAAACAUCAAACGAAUGGAUAACAACUGUCAUAUUCCUGACUUGGUACAGGCAUUUUCUAAUGUAGAAAAUGGUGGAUUGAACCUGGUUUUAUAGCUAGCUAAACCUCUCACUUUUAUGACAGUCGCAUCAAAUUCCAUUACAUUGUCAACGAUGCAUGAACAAAACAAACAUACUCAAAGAGUAAAAAUGUCAACAAUAGGGGUACAACAGUCAAUAUUGUGUUAUCAUCUUAAUAUCACUACAUAAACAACAAAUGUAACAAAGUAGCACAAAAAGGCAUACAUCAAAUUUAACAUUCUCAUUUUGCUUAUCUUAUACGGCUGAAUUUAUCUAUGUAAAGUCUACCCAUAAAUGAAAGAAGGUUUUCAUUACUGGUGUAAAAUUGCGCGUUUGAA
This 440-nucleotide long non-coding RNA is filed under the name Mytilus galloprovincialis (Mediterranean mussel). Lineage: Eukaryota; Metazoa; Mollusca; Bivalvia; Mytilida; Mytilidae. The record is from RNAcentral.